This 2906-nucleotide ribosomal RNA is filed under the name Salmonella enterica subsp. enterica serovar Muenster. Its description in RNAcentral is "bacterial LSU rRNA". It matches the Rfam family "Bacterial large subunit ribosomal RNA". The record is from RNAcentral. Lineage: Bacteria; Pseudomonadati; Pseudomonadota; Gammaproteobacteria; Enterobacterales; Enterobacteriaceae.
UUAAGCGACUAAGCGUACACGGUGGAUGCCCUGGCAGUCAGAGGCGAUGAAGGACGUGCUAAUCUGCGAUAAGCGCCGGUAAGGUGAUAUGAACCGUUAUAACCGGCGAUUUCCGAAUGGGGAAACCCAGUGUGACUCGUCACACUAUCAUUAACUGAAUCCAUAGGUUAAUGAGGCGAACCGGGGGAACUGAAACAUCUAAGUACCCCGAGGAAAAGAAAUCAACCGAGAUUCCCCCAGUAGCGGCGAGCGAACGGGGAGGAGCCCAGAGCCUGAAUCAGCAUGUGUGUUAGUGGAAGCGUCUGGAAAGGCGCGCGAUACAGGGUGACAGCCCCGUACACAAAAGCGCAUGUGCUGUGAGCUCGAUGAGUAGGGCGGGACACGUGGUAUCCUGUCUGAAUAUGGGGGGACCAUCCUCCAAGGCUAAAUACUCCUGACUGACCGAUAGUGAACCAGUACCGUGAGGGAAAGGCGAAAAGAACCCCGGCGAGGGGAGUGAAAAAGAACCUGAAACCGUGUACGUACAAGCAGUGGGAGCACAGGUUUACCUGUGUGACUGCGUACCUUUUGUAUAAUGGGUCAGCGACUUAUAUUCUGUAGCAAGGUUAACCGAAUAGGGGAGCCGGAGGGAAACCGAGUCUUAAUUGGGCGUUAAGUUGCAGGGUAUAGACCCGAAACCCGGUGAUCUAGCCAUGGGCAGGUUGAAGGUUGGGUAACACUAACUGGAGGACCGAACCGACUAAUGUUGAAAAAUUAGCGGAUGACCUGUGGCUGGGGGUGAAAGGCCAAUCAAACCGGGAGAUAGCUGGUUCUCCCCGAAAGCUAUUUAGGUAGCGCCUCGUGAAUUCAUCUCCGGGGGUAGAGCACUGUUUCGGCUAGGGGGCCAUCCCGGCUUACCAACCCGAUGCAAACUGCGAAUACCGGAGAAUGUUAUCACGGGAGACACACGGCGGGUGCUAACGUCCGUCGUGAAGAGGGAAACAACCCAGACCGCCAGCUAAGGUCCCAAAGUCAUGGUUAAGUGGGAAACGAUGUGGGAAGGCCCAGACAGCCAGGAUGUUGGCUUAGAAGCAGCCAUCAUUUAAAGAAAGCGUAAUAGCUCACUGGUCGAGUCGGCCUGCGCGGAAGAUGUAACGGGGCUAAACCAUGCACCGAAGCUGCGGCAGCGACGCUGAUGCGUUGUUGGGUAGGGGAGCGUUCUGUAAGCCUGUGAAGGUGGCCUGUGAGGGUUGCUGGAGGUAUCAGAAGUGCGAAUGCUGACAUAAGUAACGAUAAAGCGGGUGAAAAGCCCGCUCGCCGGAAGACCAAGGGUUCCUGUCCAACGUUAAUCGGGGCAGGGUGAGUCGACCCCUAAGGCGAGGCCGAAAGGCGUAGUCGAUGGGAAACGGGUUAAUAUUCCCGUACUUGGUGUUACUGCGAAGGGGGGACGGAGAAGGCUAUGUUGGCCGGGCGACGGUUGUCCCGGUUUAAGCGUGUAGGUGUGUGUUCCAGGUAAAUCCGGUUCACUUUAACACUGAGGCGUGAUGACGAGGCACUACGGUGCUGAAGCAACAAAUGCCCUGCUUCCAGGAAAAGCCUCUAAGCAUCAGGUAACAUCAAAUCGUACCCCAAACCGACACAGGUGGUCAGGUAGAGAAUACCAAGGCGCUUGAGAGAACUCGGGUGAAGGAACUAGGCAAAAUGGUGCCGUAACUUCGGGAGAAGGCACGCUGACACGUAGGUGAAGUGAUUUACUCAUGGAGCUGAAGUCAGUCGAAGAUACCAGCUGGCUGCAACUGUUUAUUAAAAACACAGCACUGUGCAAACACGAAAGUGGACGUAUACGGUGUGACGCCUGCCCGGUGCCGGAAGGUUAAUUGAUGGGGUCAGCGCAAGCGAAGCUCCUGAUCGAAGCCCCGGUAAACGGCGGCCGUAACUAUAACGGUCCUAAGGUAGCGAAAUUCCUUGUCGGGUAAGUUCCGACCUGCACGAAUGGCGUAAUGAUGGCCAGGCUGUCUCCACCCGAGACUCAGUGAAAUUGAACUCGCUGUGAAGAUGCAGUGUACCCGCGGCAAGACGGAAAGACCCCGUGAACCUUUACUAUAGCUUGACACUGAACAUUGAGCCUUGAUGUGUAGGAUAGGUGGGAGGCUUUGAAGUGUGGACGCCAGUCUGCAUGGAGCCGGCCUUGAAAUACCACCCUUUAAUGUUUGAUGUUCUAACGUGGACCCGUGAUCCGGGUUGCGGACAGUGUCUGGUGGGUAGUUUGACUGGGGCGGUCUCCUCCUAAAGAGUAACGGAGGAGCACGAAGGUUGGCUAAUCCUGGUCGGACAUCAGGAGGUUAGUGCAAUGGCAUAAGCCAGCUUGACUGCGAGCGUGACGGCGCGAGCAGGUGCGAAAGCAGGUCAUAGUGAUCCGGUGGUUCUGAAUGGAAGGGCCAUCGCUCAACGGAUAAAAGGUACUCCGGGGAUAACAGGCUGAUACCGCCCAAGAGUUCAUAUCGACGGCGGUGUUUGGCACCUCGAUGUCGGCUCAUCACAUCCUGGGGCUGAAGUAGGUCCCAAGGGUAUGGCUGUUCGCCAUUUAAAGUGGUACGCGAGCUGGGUUUAGAACGUCGUGAGACAGUUCGGUCCCUAUCUGCCGUGGGCGCUGGAGAACUGAGGGGGGCUGCUCCUAGUACGAGAGGACCGGAGUGGACGCAUCACUGGUGUUCGGGUUGUCAUGCCAAUGGCACUGCCCGGUAGCUAAAUGCGGAAGAGAUAAGUGCUGAAAGCAUCUAAGCACGAAACUUGCCCCGAGAUGAGUUCUCCCUGAGACUUAGAGUCUCCUGAAGGAACGUUGAAGACGACGACGUUGAUAGGCCGGGUGUGUAAGCGCAGCGAUGCGUUGAGCUAACCGGUACUAAUGAACCGUGAGGCUUAACCUU